RNAcentral lists this ribosomal RNA (372 nucleotides) under uncultured organism. RNAcentral describes it as "bacterial LSU rRNA". It matches the Rfam family "Bacterial large subunit ribosomal RNA", at positions 2099 to 2465 of the family's 2925-position model. The record is from RNAcentral.
CUUUACUAUAACUUGAUAUUGGUUUAGGGGCAUGUUUGCUUAGGAUAGGUGGGAGACUUUGAAGUUUCGCUUUCGGGCGAGAUGGAGUCAACGGUGAAAUACCACCCUAACAUGCUUUUAAAUCUAAUUUCUUACCAUGAAUCUGGUAGAAAGACAGUAUUAGGCGGGUAGUUUAACUGGGGCGGUUGCCUCCUAAAAUGUAACGGAGGCGUUUACAAAGGUUGGCUAGCUCCCGAUGGAAACGGGAUGCGAUAGUGCAAACGCAUAAGCCAGCUUUACUGCAAGGAGUACAAUCCGCGCAGUUGCGAAAGCAGAAGUUAGUGAUCCGACCGUUUCGAUAUAGGACGGCGGAAGCUCAACGGAUAAAAGUUA